AAGAUCAUACUUUUAGGGAUCAUUUCUAUAGUGUGCAUCUUGAAAACGUCAUCAAAAUAUGACGAAUCCUCAACUACGAUGAUGAGUCGUAGGGAUUCCUUCUGAGCAUGAAGCUUGGUUCACAUUAUCUUCGGAUAAUAUGAACUUUUGAGGAUUGUUCUUGGAUUUCCUUUUGGAGAUCUAGGAGGAAGGAAUCUCCGGCUGAGUAG
Molecule: small nucleolar RNA, 209 nt
Filed under: Ciona savignyi (Pacific transparent sea squirt)
Lineage: Eukaryota; Metazoa; Chordata; Ascidiacea; Phlebobranchia; Cionidae
Description: Small nucleolar RNA U3 (ENSCSAVG00000012341.1)
Rfam family: Small nucleolar RNA U3
About the family: Small nucleolar RNAs (snoRNAs) are involved in the processing and modification of rRNA in the nucleolus. There are two main classes of snoRNAs: the box C/D class, and the box H/ACA class. U3 snoRNA is a member of the box C/D class.
Source: RNAcentral